AAGUGAGACCCUGUCUUUAUUUAAAAUUAAGGAAAAAUAAAGAUACGAUACUGUAUGCAGAUUUAAAUCAUUUUGAGCAAGUCGUAUUUUCUUGCCACCUUGGAAGAGUCAAUUAACAUUUAUUGCUGGCCACAUGGCAGACAAUAUGCUCAAUGCUUCAUGGGCAUUAUCUCAUUUCUGUUUUAAAUUACAAAAUGAAGUCUAUGGAUGUUGAAAAUUUUGAAAGAUAUAGAAAAACACAGGAUAAAAAUUGAGAGGCUCUCGUCUCUUCUGCCUUCCCUUACCUUCUCUCUCACUGCUCUCUUUCCCUACAGCUUACCCUAGUGGUACAUGUAUGGUUGUGUGCCGGAUAUGUAUGUGUGUGUUUGUGGGUAGCUGUGUGUACAUACACACAUAACCAUACAAACAAGACCAUAGCUAUUUAUUGUAUUAAGACUUUUCCCCCCUUUUUAAUAGUGUAAUUUGGAUAUUUUCCUGCCUUCUACCAAAUACAUAAAUAUCAUGUUUCUUAAUACUCUUAAUAGUCUAUUCCAUAGUUUAGACUGUAUUUAACAACUCCCUUAUCAUUAGAUAUUUAGGCUUGUCCAGCUUUUUGCUAUCACAAACAGGGAUCUUGGUGUAUAUGUGAAUGUUGGCAGCAGGUUAGCAGAGCACCAGAAGUGGGACUACUGGUCAAACCUUUGCACAAAAAUCAUACAGCCUCUAAUAGCAUUUCCCAGAGAAGAAAAGGGCCUUGUCUGGAACACAGAUCAAGAACUCUUAACUUUUUCUGAUCCAUGCUUUACAUUGCCACUUGAUAAAUACUACAUGUCAUCUCUAAGUACCACUAAAUCUCCCAUCUGGAGAGAUGGGACACUCUCCUUUAUACCUUUGAUGACUUUACUACCCAUGAUAAAAGCAGGAGAUCCCACCUUCCAGCUGCCCCUUCUUAAACAUCUAACUCUGUGCAAGUCCCAACCCUCAUUUAAUCACUUUGCUACUUCAUUGCAUUCAUCACACCAACUUGCAGUUAUUUGUACAGUUGUUCAUCUUCCAUUAGACUGAGCCCUCUGAGGGCAGGAAAUAUUUUUCAUUCUUCUUGGAACUUCCUUUUCCUAACAUAGUGUCUGAGAUGCUCAAUAAACUUUUUUUUGAGUGAAUAAAAAAUAAAUGAGGGAGUAGAAUACCUAGAUGAAUUCAGUUAUAAAAUGGCUCCAGGUACUGAAAUUGUCCAUUUUCAUUUUUAUGUUUUUGCAAUAAGAAAGAUGAACAUGCAUCUCCCCUAGUGCUACUUUUUUCAAAACUAAAUAUUCUAAUUCCAAGGCUUUAUUUCCGUCAAAUAACUACCACUUCCAAAUUCUUCUGUUAUUUUUAUUGUUCUCCAGGAUCUCUCCAUCUCAAUCAUGUCAUACAUUGGAAACAAUUCUCUGACACUUCAUCUAUAUACAAUCAACACUUUGUUAGGCUCUUGUAGCUGCCUCAUUUUUUGUAACACAAUAGAAUACUUGCCUUAAUAAUAAAUUAUAUUUGCCUUACAGUAUGGCUUAUUAGAUACCCAAAAUGUUUUCUGCCAUGCUUUCGAAAUGUUUUGACUGCAUGACAUUCUAUGGUGUUAAAAUUCCCCAAAAUGAAUGAUUUAUACUGCAUUUGCCUUAAUUGGAAUCUAUCCUGUUUUCAUCUUUCCUACUUUGACAGUCAUCUCAAUGUAAAUCCUGUGUCAGAGGUGCUUAUCUGUCUCUUUGCUACUUUUCUUUGAAAACUAAACAUAAACACAAGAAAUUUCACAUAGUAAAACUAGUAAGAUCUGGGUUUAUAAAUAUAAAUGGUGCAUCUGUGGCGGCAGAGCUCUGUCUCCAACUUCUUGGAGAUAAACAAGUUCAUAGUUAGAAAUGCUCUAGAAGUAAACAGGAAACCUGCUACACAAAUUGUGAAAUAUAAGUAUGUUUUAUAGAAGUCCUGAAAUUGUAUUUUUCAACAAGUUAAAACAGAAAAACCUAACACUACCAUAUCCAUUAAAUAUUAAUUCUCUCUUCCUCAAAUGUUUUACUCAUAUCUAUGCCUGUCCCUUUGGAACAUUUUUCAGUCAAAUUCAUAACACUGUCUUGAUUCCAAGCCUCAGGAGAACAUUUGAAUGAAAUUUUCAAAUGCUUCAAUUUUUAUAUCAUCCAAUGUGGAAUUCACAUUUACUGAGCACCUGCAAUGAGCUAGGAUCUGUACUACAUACUUUUAAAAAUACAUUAUUUUUCCUAAGAAAGUUCUGAGGUAGAUAUAUUAUUUUACAGAUGAGGAAACAGAGGUUCAGAGAGGUUAACUGACUUCACAAAAGUCAUAGAGCUACUAGGUAACAGAGCUCAUUGAACAUGGAGCUAGGAUUCAACCCUGGAUCGCCGUGAAGCCAUUUUGUUUCCAUGACAUCAUGACAUUGGUUAUAACACCACAAUUGUUUAGAAUAUAAGGCUUGUUUAGAAUGCAAGGCUUCCUCAAUUCUCCACCCUUCCCCUCUUGACAUCUUGCUCUUCUUCCCUUCAUCUAUUGUGUUAGUCAGGUGCAUGCUGGUCUUCCCUCUAUCAAACUGUAAGCUACUUGGAGACUUGGGAUGCCUCACUCAUCUCUAUUCCCAAACCUCAGGGUCUAUCAUUCUACCUUCUGUAUAGACAGGACUUUCAUAGUUUUGAACAAGUCAGAACCUGAAAGAAUUUGCUUCCAGAACAGGACAUUGACAGGAAAAUUAAGCAUGAUCAUGCCGAGUAAAAUAGGAAUAAGAAUUGGACCUACCUCAAGAUCUGUUGAGAAGAUUAUGAGAGAGCUGAUGGAUCUAAAAGAUUGGCGCUUGAUAGAAUUGGGAUCAUUUGUUUUGACUAGAACAAUCUCUUGCAGCUUGGAUGGAGAAACUUUACAGAGGUUUCAGCCAAACACUCAUGAAUUCUUUAAUGUGUGAAAUAAAGUAAGUUUUAUAGGCAAAUAACAAUCUGAAUCCCUAACUAGCUAUUUCAUAUAAUAUGCAUAUAACUCUGAAAAUUACAUACAUCAAAUUUCAAUUUGGCUUCAUGCAUGCUUUGUUUUAUAGAUUCAUAAAGGCAGAUUUUCUCUGAUUAUCAGACUUAUUGCAAAAUGGAGUCAACACAGAAACUUCCUGAAGUUGGCAAAGCUUGUUUUCUUUGGCUGACAGGAGUAACUGAUGUAUUAUUAUUUUUUAAGGCUCUGAGAUAAAUCUGAUUCAUGUUUGAAUCAUAAGUUUAUUAUUGAUUUUUAGUGUGGAUUUUGCAUAAGAUACUCAAUUUAGAGAAUACUCAGCUUUCUCAUAUGCAGAAUAGAAAAAAAGUAGUUACCUGAUCAGAUUUUUUGAAAGGUAAAUGCAACAGCAGUUGUAAAUGGCAUAGUCCAUUGUUAGGAAUAGACUAGGUGUUCAAUAAAUGAAUAAAAAAAAACCGUGAAGCUCUCCUGAAGCUUUAUAUUCCCUGUCUAUAAAAUGGAGACAUCACUGAUUUCCUGCUUACAUUACAAGACUGCUGUGAAGAUCAAAUGAAGAAACAGAUAAAAAUGUUUGGUAAACUGAAUUGUACAGUAUAAAUAGAAAGCGGUGACAAAAGUAAUUCAUACCAAUGCAGUUUUUUAAAAAUAUCCCAACCUGCCUACACAACUACUUCCUCUCUCUGAGAUUUAUCUCAAAAGUGGAAUUAGAUUCCUGUCUUAGCUGUAAAAAUAAAGCCACAAAGGGCAUCAUGCAUGAGAGAGUAAAUGUGAAACUCUGUGGGGGAAAAUGGAAACUUCAGAUAUUAUUAGGGCCUAGCUGCCAAUGGUGAUUCUCUCAAGAUUUUAUUGGCAGGUUGAGUGAAAGUGCCAGAGUGUGGAUGCACAAAUUGUAGUUUAAUUGGUGUGAUUUAUAGCUAAUGGUGCAUCAGAAGGAGGAACUAGGAACUGUGCCUUCUAAUUUAAGGCAUAGUACCUAAGACUGCAUCCACUAGGUAAGAAAACCUUCCUUGGCAAACUCAAAUAUUAAAUCUUCGCUGAAUUUGUCUUGUUCUUUUAUAUAAAAAUCAUGGAGCCAGGAGCUAAAAUAAUAUCUAAGUUUCCUCUUUGCCUGACGCCAUCCAUGCAAAAUGUGACUUGCUUCUUCAGCAGCAGCAUGAAAACAAACUAAUACACCACUAUUCCUAGGUAAGUAGAGCCACAAUGGGAAGACCACUAAGGGAAUAUGGAGGCUCACAGAGGCUAGUCAAUUUAUCCAAGGCCACGCAGCAAAGCUGGGACUCAAACUCAAAUCUUCUAGUCCUAGUUUCAUUCAGUUUUUUUUUUUUCCUACAUUGAUUCUAGACUUUGUUCUACAAGUGACUACUUUUCUGUUUUGUUCCUGACAUGAACAUGUCCAUGGCUGUCUCAGACUUGUUUGGUUACCCUAAGUAACCAUUUAGCAGCCAAUUUCUGAUAUGACUAUAGAUACAUCUCUAUAAGUGAAUUCUAUAGGUGAUUUGGCAUGAUCAAAAUGAAAAGGCUUUGUUUGAGUUCCCCAAUAUACUGCUCAAAUGAAAGCUUCUCAAAAUAUCAUUUUGAGAUACGACAGGUCUUUCCUUCAAAUACAACAGAUACUUUUCUUUUGCAGCACUCAGCAUACAUACAACUAUUUAUUUAUCUGUAAGUACUUGCUUAGUAUCUGUGAAGAACAUUGCAGGUACCUGACAUAUGUCUAACUGAUGGAGUGAGGCUGCUAAUGUGGCCAUCUCUCCCUCUUCCUGAUAAGAAAGUGAACCAGCCAUUUCAAAAUGUGGAGAAUUCGAUAAAUAUGUUCUACUCCUCUAUAGCCCUCCCACUAAAAUAAUUUUCAAUUUUCAAUUGAGGUGAAAGGAAGAAUCGGCAAAGAGACGGAUUGAGAGAAUUGUUUAUACUCAUAACUUCGUUCUCAACAUAAUUAUCUAUUUCUGAAUCCUAAAAAUCACCUAGCUAGAUUCUCCCUCAAUCUGAAGAUUACCUUUUACUCCUUGAGAUGCUAAAUGUGUUCCUAUUUAUCAUAUUAAUAUUGCGAGUAUUUUGUGUUAUGCAGCCAGAAAAAUCACAUAAUGGGAACUUACCCACAGCCCCCAAACUCAUAAACAGGAGCUGAAUAGAAAUUCCUCAGUGCAAUUUAUGGUAACAAUUUCAUGCUCAGUUUAGUUACUUCCAUGACUCAGAAAAGAAAUUUCUUUUGCUUAUUUCAGUAAUUUUUUUCUAAAAAAUUGUUCCCCUAAUUUUUGGCAAAGGAUCUAUGAGAAAGUGAAGAACUCCCUGGUUGUACAUGGAUUUGGAAUUGUCACUUAAGUGAGGCCAAAAUGUAACCCUAUGCCAUUCAUUGCAUAGUACCAUUUGUUAUAAAUUUGACCUCUAAAACAAAGAUAUUACAAAGCCAUUGAGUGUUUUUUUAAGGGAUAUAUUAUAUUUGUCACUUAGUCCCCAGUAUUAUGAUGGAAAACCUGGAUAGUGGAUAGAAAACCUGGAGGUCAUUUAGGCAUCUCUUUCACUGGUUGGGUGAGAAAUGGUGAAGAAGAUGGGAAUGGAGAAGGGACAUACAUUUGGUAAGUGUAAAUAAGAGUCUUUGCUGAUUAAUUCAGUGUGGCCCAUGAGAAAGAGUGGAAGUGUCCAAGGUUCCCUCAGGUUUACAGCUUGGGCAACUGACUGAGAACAGAAAGGAGCUGCCAUUGAGAGGAAGAAAAGAAAAUGACACUGAGUCCAUGUUGGGACACAUUGGGUUUAAAGGGAUAUCAUUAUGACCUAAGCUCUCUGAAUUCCAGUGACUGGGAAUAUGGGAAGAUACAUCUUUAACAGUUGAAGCAAUUUAUACACUUUAACAAUUGAAGCAAUUUAUACACCAGAGCCUAAGGAAUAUUUAUAGAUGAGGGCUGUGCUGCAAUGACAGAUAGGGUUGUAUGAAACAUACACUAAUCUGACCAUUCUAUCCUCCAGACUCAGGGAAGGAAAUAAUAAAAGUAAGUAACCAUAAAAAAUAGACUUUUAUGCAUAAAUAAAUAAAAAUCAGCUAGGAGACAGUUCAUCCCUGUAUAAGUAAAACAGGCAAAUUUAUCUUUCCUCUGAUUAAUAAUUUAAGAAAAAAUCCCAAGCAAGCUGCCUAUGGAGGUGUAGGAGUAGCUCCUAUAAUUAGACUCCAAUUUGAACCAUGAGGGUGAGGAUCAGAAAGCUGACUCAGAGCCUGGUGUCAAUUAUUUGCAGUUUGUACAACGAAAGGCUAAAAAUUUGGGAGAUGCAGGAUGACUGAAGCCCGAUUCUGGGGGUUGUUACAGCACAGUUACAGGGUAAGUUUUUUCCAUUGUUAUUUGCUGGAAAAUUUAUUCUCCAUCUCCUUUAGUCUGUGCCUGAAUUUUGUGGGACUUGCUCGAGAAUGGUAUUCAUGCUUUAAAUCCAAGAGCCAGGAAUCAUCGCAUUUCAACAAUUUUCCUAUUUAUUUUAACCAAAACAGAGCUGGUUUCUAUAACUCAAUUUAAGAAAUUAUCCUCUUUGAUACAAUCUACUUAUGUUUGAUUGAUUUUAGAAUAAACUAACAGAUACACAAGAGCUUAUCAAGCUAGCUCGGUUCAGUGGAGAACUAUAGCAGAAACAGCAGGUUUCUAUUUGGCACAUUUUGGAUUUAUCUGGACGCAAGAGGAUGUGAAAAGAACACCUUUCAGACAAAAGCCAGUCUUGAGUAGGAAUUUAGUGUUCCUUGCCCAAACAGCUUAGUUUGUUUCCCAUUUUGAGUCACUAUCUGAAUCCUUUUUUAUCUCCUAUAUAGAACAAAUUCUCUCCCUCUAUUUAAUAGGCUUUCAGAUAUGAAACAGAGAGAGAGAGAGAGAGAGGAAGGAAGGAAGGGAGGGAGGGAAAGAGAAAGGGAAAGAAGGAAGGAAAAGCUCUAAUUUCUUCUGUUCUUUUGGUAACACACCUCCCCUUCACAUCCUUCAGCUGCUCCCCUUAGGGCUUUUUGUAGACACUUUUGGUGGUCUCUCCUCUCACACACUGCUCACCACUGUACUUUAUUUUGUAUCAUCUGUCUCCAUCCUUUCCCAACUCCUGAGCACUCAGCCUCCUCUGGAUCUUUUCUGGUUCCUUCGCUCCUAGAACUGUGUCUGAUGGCUUAUGAAGGCAAAUGACAAAUGUUUGCCAUAUGCACAUGUAUGUGCAUGAAUGAAUACAUCCAGGUUCUGACUUCCUCGGGGCAACCUCUACUUUCUCAAUGCCCCUCUUAAGAUGGGGGUGGGGGAGGGUCCUCCUAGAACUGAACAUGAUAUUCCAGGUGUGAUCUAAUACAUUUAAAUGUCCAAAAGCUCUUUCUUCCCUAAACGUUCCUUUUUAAAAGCUACUGUUCUCAAUUAAUGGGUGUCUCAUCUUCUUAAGUAUAUUAAUAAGAGGUAUUUUGAUGUUUCCCUCCAUUCUGUGGAUUACCUCUUGAUUCUCUGGAUUCUUUGUGAUUCCGUUUUGUUUUAAGGAUGUUCUCAGGUGUCUGGUGAUCCUUGCUUAUAAGUCCAAAUUAAUGAUGAGGCACUAAAAUGCUGAUUGGAAGCUCUCUGUGCAGGCAGGUAUUGUUGAAUAGUGGUAAACAGGGGACAUGUUCAUUUUGGAGACACUCAAAUAUCAGGACCUAUAAAUCUCUAUGCCAAGUCAGUUUCCCCAGAGUCUCUUAAUAUCAUUUCUUUCAGGUUAAAAGCCUGGUUACCAGGUUCUGGGAGUGAAGGGAGGAGUGGGGCUUAGACAAGGGUGGGGGCGGGGGUAUGUCUCACAAUUCACUAAAUACCUUCUUUUAUAUAUGUGUUCUCUGUGCAGCAUUUUACCCCCACCAUCGUCCAUGUCUGAUGCCUCAGGUUCAAUCUUGUUCAGUCUUUCCAAAGAGGAAACAUUGGUUGGGUGGGAAUGAUUGGCAGGUCGAAGAGAGAAUUUGAAGCUAUAGCUGCUCCUUUUAAAACUUCUAACUCAUCUUUGUUUUUUCAGGCCUUCCUCACACCCAUGUCUUCAGAUACCCAAGGCCUUUAAUACCCAAGUCCUUCCAGGAUUCUGCACAUCUCAUUAGCUUCAUAUUCCCAUUUGCUGUAUUAUCAGUGUCUGAUGAUGUUGACAAUGUUGAAGAAGAAGAAAGAAGAGGAGUUGGAGGAGGAGGAAGAAAACAUCCAGAGCAUUCAAUUUAUUCUAGUUAAAUUACUAACCAGAAAGAGAAUGCCCUCGGAAGUCUACUUUAUAAUGCUGUUUGGUUCUAAGUAAAGAGCAUCUAAUAGGGAGACAUGUAAAUCCUGUUUCCAAAACACACUUAGAGGAUUACAGCAUGUGAAAGAUUUGCU
Molecule: long non-coding RNA, 8270 nt
Filed under: Homo sapiens (human)
Lineage: Eukaryota; Metazoa; Chordata; Mammalia; Primates; Hominidae
Description: HSALNT0364201
Source: RNAcentral